GCAGGCGUGGCGAAAUUGGUAGACGCACUAGACUUAGGAUCUAGCGAAGCAAUUCAUGGGGGUUCAAGUCCCUUCGCCUGCACCA
Molecule: transfer RNA, 85 nt
Filed under: bacterium
Lineage: Bacteria
Description: tRNA-Leu
Rfam family: tRNA
About the family: Transfer RNA (tRNA) molecules are approximately 80 nucleotides in length. Their secondary structure includes four short double-helical elements and three loops (D, anti-codon, and T loops).
Source: RNAcentral